ACUCAGCAGGGUGGGUAUGUGCCUAGGAGUACUCUGUGGGUUUUUCCAAGGACAAGGGCCACAGAGUACUCCUAGGCACAUACCCACCCUGCUGAGU
RNAcentral lists this microRNA precursor (97 nucleotides) under Marmota monax (woodchuck). The record is from RNAcentral. Lineage: Eukaryota; Metazoa; Chordata; Mammalia; Rodentia; Sciuridae.